Molecule: ribosomal RNA, 305 nt
Filed under: uncultured bacterium
Lineage: Bacteria
Description: bacterial SSU rRNA
Rfam family: Bacterial small subunit ribosomal RNA
Source: RNAcentral
UGCCUACGGGGCGCAGCAGUCGGGAAUAUUGCGCAAUGGAGGAAACUCUGACGCAGUGACGCCGCGUAUAGGAAGAAGGUUUUCGGAUUGUAAACUAUUGUCGUUAGGGAAGAUAAAAGACUGUACCUAAGGAGGAAGCCCCGGCUAAAUACGUGCCAGCAGCCGCGGUAAUACGUAUGGAGCAAGCGUUAUCCGGAUUUACUGGGUGUAAAGGGAGCGCAGACGGCAGGGCAAGUCUGAUGUGAAAGUCCGGGGCUCAACCCCGGGACUGCAUUGGAAACUGUCCGGCUAGAGUGCAGGAGAGG